AGUAACGCGUAGGUAACCUACCUCAUAGCGGGGGAUAACUAUUGGAAACGAUAGCUAAUACCGCAUAAGAGAGACUAACGCAUGUUAGUAAUUUAAAAAGGGCAAUUGCUCCACUAUGAGAUGGACCUGCGUUGUAUUAGCUAGUUGGUGAGGUAAAGGCUCACCAAGGCGACGAUACAUAGCCGACCUGAGAGGGUGAUCGGCCACACUGGGACUGAGACACGGCCCAG
RNAcentral lists this ribosomal RNA (230 nucleotides) under uncultured Streptococcaceae bacterium. RNAcentral describes it as "partial 16S ribosomal RNA". It matches the Rfam family "Bacterial small subunit ribosomal RNA", at positions 109 to 334 of the family's 1533-position model. Lineage: Bacteria; Bacillati; Bacillota; Bacilli; Lactobacillales; Streptococcaceae. The record is from RNAcentral.